Molecule: long non-coding RNA, 311 nt
Organism: Mangifera indica (mango)
Lineage: Eukaryota; Viridiplantae; Streptophyta; Magnoliopsida; Sapindales; Anacardiaceae
Exons: 2
Source: RefSeq, a predicted model, not a curated record
GAUAGAUAAAAAUACAAAUGAGAGUGAGAGGCGGCGAUGAUCGUUAUCAUUUUCAACCAUAAGUGCAAACAUCGUGAAUCUUAGGUAGACAAGGUGAGUAACAGGGCAUGCAUGGAGCUAGCGAUCAAGUUUAAGAAACUUACAUGAGGAGGGGCAUUUGUGUCAUUUUAUAUUUGUGUUAUGGAGUUUCAGUUGAGACUGUGUACUUGGUUAUAUGCAUGUUUCAAUUAUAGAUUUGUAUUUUAGACUUAUUGUGUGGAUGACUUGAGAUUUGAGUGAUGAUUAAGGUUUUAUUCAGUUGACAUUUUGCA